RNAcentral lists this ribosomal RNA (104 nucleotides) under uncultured bacterium. RNAcentral's name for it is "partial 16S ribosomal RNA". It matches the Rfam family "Bacterial small subunit ribosomal RNA", at positions 1379 to 1482 of the family's 1533-position model. The record is from RNAcentral.
CCUUGUACACACCGCCCGUCACACCAUGGGAGUGGAUUUUACCAGAAGUAGGUAGUCUAACCGCAAGGAGGACGCUUACCACGGUAGUAUUCAUGACUGGGGUG